RNAcentral lists this ribosomal RNA (433 nucleotides) under uncultured bacterium. RNAcentral describes it as "partial 16S ribosomal RNA". It matches the Rfam family "Bacterial small subunit ribosomal RNA", at positions 29 to 507 of the family's 1533-position model. The record is from RNAcentral.
AGCGAACGCUGGCGGCAGGCCUAACACAUGCAAGUCGAACGAACUCUUCGGAGUUAGUGGCGGACGGGUGAGUAACACGUGGGAACGUGCCUUUUGGUUCGGAAUAACUCAGGGAAACUUGUGCUAAUACCGAAUGUGCCCUUCGGGGGAAAGAUUUAUCGCCAUUAGAGCGGCCCGCGUCUGAUUAGCUAGUUGGUGAGGUAACGGCUCACCAAGGCGACGAUCAGUAGCUGGUCUGAGAGGAUGACCAGCCACACUGGGACUGAGACACGGCCCAGACUCCUACGGGAGGCAGCAGUGGGGAAUCUUGCGCAAUGGGCGAAAGCCUGACGCAGCCAUGCCGCGUGAAUGAUGAAGGUCUUAGGAUUGUAAAAUUCUUUCACCGGGGACGAUAAUGACGGUACCCUGAGAAGAAGCCCCGGCUAACUUCGUG